AGAGUUUGAUCAUGGCUCAGAUUGAACGCUGGCGGCAUGCCUAACACAUGCAAGUCGAACGGCAGCAUGGUCUAGUUUACUAGACUGAUGGCGAGUGGCGCACGGGUGAGUAACGCGUAGGAAUAUACCUUGAAGAGUGGGAUAACUUGGGGAAACUUAAGCUAAUACCGCAUAGAUUCUGAGGAAGAAAGCUGGGGACCGCAAGGCCUGGCGCUUUAAGCAUAGCCUGCGUCCGAUUAGCUAGUUGGUGGGGUAAAGGCCUACCAAGGCGACGAUCGGUAGCUGGUCUGAGAGGACGGACAGCCACACUGGGACUGAGACACGGCCCAGACUCUUACGGGAGGCAGCAGUGGGGAAUAUUGGACAAUGGGGGGAACCCUGAUCCAGCAAUGCCGCGUGUGUGAAGAAGGCCUGAGGGUUGUAAAGCACUUUCAGUGGGGAGGAGUGAUUGAUUGGUUAAGAGCUGAUUGAUUGGACGUUACCCACAGAAGAAGCACCGGCUAACUCCGUGCCAGCAGCCGCGGUAAUACGGAGGGUGCGAGCGUUAAUCGGAAUUACUGGGCAAAGGGUGCGUAGGUGGUUGAUUAAGUUAGUUGUGAAAGACCCAAGCUCAACUUGGGCAAGCCAACUAAGACUGAAUGACUGGAGUAUAGGAGAGGGUAGUGGAAUUUCCGGUGUAGCGGUGAAAUGCGUAGAGAUCGGAAGGAACACCGGUGGCGAAGGCGGCUACCUGGCCUAAUACUGACACUGAGGCACGAAAGCGUGGGGAGCAAACAGGAUUAGAUACCCUAGUAGUCC
This 798-nucleotide ribosomal RNA is filed under the name uncultured bacterium. RNAcentral's name for it is "bacterial SSU rRNA". It matches the Rfam family "Bacterial small subunit ribosomal RNA", at positions 8 to 796 of the family's 1533-position model. The record is from RNAcentral.